Molecule: long non-coding RNA, 315 nt
Organism: Falco peregrinus (peregrine falcon)
Lineage: Eukaryota; Metazoa; Chordata; Aves; Falconiformes; Falconidae
Exons: 2
Source: RefSeq, a predicted model, not a curated record
AAGGGGUCCUGCUUGUUGGAGAAGACGUUGCCCUGAAGCGCUGUCUCGUGCUGGCAGUACUCGGCUCGGACUCGCAGGCGGAUGUCUGAGGGAAGCAGGGAGGGCGAGCCAUGAAUAAGAAUGAGGCAGAAGGAGACGAGACCUCCUGGCUGCUGUGGGGCCUGGAAGGACAUGGGAACCAGAAACAAGCAUCAACUCGUUAAGUCUGGAGGAGACUUCCUUUAACCGAUCGAUCCCUCCUCUUUGAAUGCAAAGCGCUGCACAUUAUAAACCACAUGUAAGGUGCCUUUCUUAAUAAAGCUUUCUGAAAUGCUA